Oxyura jamaicensis (ruddy duck) is the source of this 129-nucleotide long non-coding RNA. RefSeq lists it as uncharacterized. The transcript has 3 exons. Lineage: Eukaryota; Metazoa; Chordata; Aves; Anseriformes; Anatidae. The record is from RefSeq and is a predicted model, not a curated record.
UUUGGGAUGGAGGGAAAAAUCCUACAUAGAGUAACUCAAGAUGACAAUUCCUGGGGACUGAGAAACAUUUGGGAGAAACUAACUUUGUGGUUACCUGAAUAGAAUUGGCUCAAACAACUAUUUGUUGGU